Molecule: long non-coding RNA, 1141 nt
Organism: Rhododendron vialii
Lineage: Eukaryota; Viridiplantae; Streptophyta; Magnoliopsida; Ericales; Ericaceae
Exons: 3
Source: RefSeq, a predicted model, not a curated record
GACUUCUUUUUUGAGCCGUUGGAUCUCAUCCAACGGCUGGAAUUUUAAAGAAGAGCUCGCGGGUCAAAAUCGCCCAUGAAUCGGGUAAAAUGGUUACCGGGUCAACCGGAUCCCCACAGGCGGAUCCUCCUUUUUCUUUUCCACAGCUUCCAGUGGAAGCUUUGCUUCAAAGUUCAAACGAGAGAGAGAGAUUGAGGGAAAUUUGAACGACGAAGAAGAGAAGAGCGACGACGAACGAUGAAUAAGAACUCGACUAAGAAAUCGACUUGAUCGACAAAUAAGAACGACGAAGAAGAAGAGGACGACGACAACGAAGAGAACGAUUGAAGGUAUUUCUCUCACUCCCUCUCUCUCUCUUUGGCUUCGAAUCUGUAUAUUUCGAGUUAAGGUUUUGCAACUUACAUGGUACAACCACGACGAACAAGGACGACGAAGACUCGACCUUCGUCGAGAAACAAGUUUUGGAUUGGCACUAUUUCUCUAAUUUUACUUAGACGUGUACAGUUGGCAUGGCUUCCGCUUCUUCAAAUGCCACAUUUGGAUGGGCGUGGGGGUCUUGUGCUUGUGAAUUUGGUGAAUGCAUCCCCACCAAGGCUGGUCGCAGAACGCAUGUUAACCAUAGAAAAUGCAGUCCGUGUUGUAAUAGUUAUUCCGGUGCCAAGCAGCAUUGCAGAAUGCGGUUGCAGAGCAAUCCAGCCAUCUUCGAAGUAAUCUACAAAGAAAUCCAGGAACAAACAGGGGAAUAGAACCAGAAUUCUUCAGAAAUAGAGUUGAUUCAUUUGUACUCUGUAGUUUUUAUUUAAAACCAUUAGAUUGGUAAAAACGGUUGAAAGUGAAUCUAUCUUUUGUAUUCUUUUCUUUUCUUGUGUUUUUAUUUUCCUUCCCUUUUGGAUGAGCAGAGUGUUGUAUCUACUAGUUUUUUUCGAAAAACUUAUCUACUAGUAUAGACACAUGUUUUUUAAAGCAGCGGAUGCAAAUGAGACAAAGGUGUUUGUGUAAAUUUAGAGUGGCAUCAUGGUUCUUUUUUCGUAUGAAAUUUUAUGUUUGUGUUUGGCCUAUAUUUUUAGUUUGAGGGAAAAGGAUGAGCUGAUUUUUAUGUUUGAUUAUGCCCUUGUUUUCUUGUACAUCUGGGUUAUGCAAC